This 272-nucleotide long non-coding RNA is filed under the name Marmota monax (woodchuck). The record is from RNAcentral. Lineage: Eukaryota; Metazoa; Chordata; Mammalia; Rodentia; Sciuridae.
UGAAAAUGAAAAAAAACCCCAAAUAAUAAUAAAAAAAAAUUAAUAAAUGCAGUCUUAGAGUUUGAUUAACUUCUCUUCCAGUAGGUGGAGCUGUGCCCACCGGGCCAAGCUUCUCCUCUCAAUACACGGGAACCAAUCACUGUGCAGCAGCUCCUCCUCCCAGACUGGGCGGGUCUCCAAUCCUGAGUGCCUAGGGCCUUCUCUUGUGUCUAGUCACUUCCCCACUUUUCCUCAAGCCAGGCCCCGCUCACCGGUGAUGCUCACCACAAUAC